Molecule: ribosomal RNA, 253 nt
Filed under: uncultured bacterium
Lineage: Bacteria
Description: partial 16S ribosomal RNA
Rfam family: Bacterial small subunit ribosomal RNA
Source: RNAcentral
UACGUAGGGGGCAAGCGUUGUCCGGAUUUAUUGGGCGUAAAGAGCGUGUAGGCGGUUUGGUAGGUCCGCUGUGAAAACUCGAGCUCAACCUCGAGACGCCGGUGGAAACCAUCAGACUAGAGUCCGGAAGAGGAGAGUGGAAGUUCCUGGUGUAGCGGUGAAAUGCGCAGAUAUCAGGAAGAACACCCGUGGCUAAGGCGGCUCUCUAGUACGGUACUGACGCUGAGACGCGAAAGCGUGGGGAGCGAACAGG